Molecule: long non-coding RNA, 1604 nt
Organism: Strigops habroptila (Kakapo)
Lineage: Eukaryota; Metazoa; Chordata; Aves; Psittaciformes; Psittacidae
Source: Ensembl
UGCCUUGAAAACAUUUAUUUUACAACAGUGGUUUCAGAUAACUUAGCAAUCUUUAUUUUAGUUCUAUUCGGACAUACGAUACACGAAUUACCAUGCUAGAACAGAAAAUACCUCCUCCUCCUCCUCUCCUCACAGCGUGUAUGUACAGGAGCUCAGUAGUAUCGAGUGUUACAACCCACAGAGUUCAGACAGCCACAGCUACUUACAUACAAGUCAAAGUAUGGUCCUUUAGUAACAUAACAAAAUAUAUAUAUGUCUAUAUUAUAAUUGCUUUGUCAGAUGCAUUUAUAACUUCCAUUGUGGGGUGGGGGGGGGUAUUUUUACAGGCUUUUCUCUCGGUUAGAGACGGGCUCCCCCCAUCCCAGAGGUGAAGAGCAACCGCAGAGCGUGUCCUCAGCGUCCUCAAGAGGCCAACACGGCCAGAGCACGAGGAGUGAGUGAGUGCAGGGCCUUGUCACAUGCAGGAUGAGCACAAACAGCCUCGGAGGUCUGUGACAGCAUGAACCAAACAUCCACACCCAGAGAGGGGUGACGGUGGGAAGGGUGAAGGGGGAUGAUGGUGAUGGAAGGCUCCAUCCGUGAUGGACACACAGGGAACUUCAAAUGCGUCAGCAAUAAAGGAAUCGCCCCCAAACAUUCCCCUAUUUCUGCCAGGAUGCAGAAUCCCCCCCGUAUUUCAUCUGCCAGCCCUAAAAUAUGAGGUCCAGGGAUGCGGCUUGACCCACCGCAAUGAGUGACCCGGCGCCUUUACACAGAUCUCCACCUAACUUCAGCUUUACAACUCGUAGUAACUCCGGGUCCUCAUGAUCCCAACCUGCAAACACUGCAGGCUGGGUCGCUGGACCACACAGUGCAAACACACCACACUGCUCAGCACCAACUCGCUCGAGUAAGGAGGGAGUAGACAAUUGCAUCCCCUUUUUACACCACAGCUCUCCCCUGUACUACCCAUUUACAACAGGAUCCUUCCACCGCCUCCUUCACUGGUUUAACCCAACAGAUUUGGUUUGGUUUUAUCCUGCAGCUGAGAGGAGAAAGCACGAUUCUGGCCAAAGCUCCCCCUUCCCCUUGUCCCUGCGGGAUCUCACAGCACGGCUCAGAGCCAGAAUCCAGGGAUUUACCACCAAAGGAAACCAGCAGCAAGCACCAGGUGCACCCACUCUAUUACUAUAUACAUCUGGGCAUAUAUACAUACAUACACACACGAUGUUCAACCCAAAGCCCACAGCGCGGGUUCAGACCUUGCUCUGGAGCUUUGCACUUCGUUGGAGAGUGCAACCAUCUGGGAUUAAGAACUUGAGGUGGGGCUGCAAAAACCCGGCAGGAGUCUCCGGGUUAAACGCGACACCAACAUCCACCUGCAUCGGGUACAAAUAAACCUGCAGCACAAAUCCAUUUCCAAAUCACCCGGGAACAUCCGAAGGGCACAAAGUAGCUGAGAGAAGCCUCUCCCAAGGAAACCCUCUGAUAUAACCCCCCAAAACUCACUGGUGUCACUCCAACAUGACCGCUUUCUGGAUGGGACAGGACUAUCUGCUCCAUGCAGCUCCUGUAGCAUUUAGAUGACACAAAGGGGGUUGAAGACUCUAUGGCUGCAGGACUUG